GCAAAGGCGAUGACAGAGUAAAGUAGACUGCAGGCUGAUUUUCAGGGAGGAAGGGUCGCUGACUGGGAGCCCUUCUAAGGAGGCGGCGGUUGAAGUUCCCUCUUGAGCUGUCGGCUGAACAAGAAAAAGUAGGCUGGAACGGUUCUUCCCCGUUAAAAGGAAGGGGGUAUCGGAUUGUUGGUCCCGUACCUUUAUUGAGCGGGCAAUUUUUGCCAAGCAGGGUGGUAACGCGAGCUUCUCGUCCCUUAG
RNAcentral lists this non-coding RNA (249 nucleotides) under Peptococcaceae bacterium. RNAcentral's name for it is "T-box sequence". It matches the Rfam family "T-box leader". Rfam says of the family: Uncharged tRNA acts as the effector for transcription antitermination of genes in the T-box leader family. T-boxes are found upstream of many aminoacyl-tRNA synthetase genes and some amino acid biosynthetic genes usually in Gram-positive bacteria. The anticodon of a specific tRNA base pairs to a specifier sequence within the T-box motif, and the NCCA acceptor tail of the tRNA base pairs to a conserved bulge in the T-box antiterminator hairpin. Lineage: Bacteria; Bacillati; Bacillota; Clostridia; Eubacteriales; Peptococcaceae. The record is from RNAcentral.